Long non-coding RNA from Aricia agestis (brown argus), 763 nucleotides. RefSeq lists it as uncharacterized. The record is from RefSeq and is a predicted model, not a curated record. The transcript has 3 exons. Lineage: Eukaryota; Metazoa; Arthropoda; Insecta; Lepidoptera; Lycaenidae.
UUAUACAAACAUGUAUAACGUAAUAUAUAUUUUUCUAAAUCUUAGCAGUAAAUUAUGGAUUGAGCUUGAUUAACAAAAAACCCGUUAUUAUAAAUUUUGUAACUAUUUUAAAACACUUGAUUGAAUAGUGUUAUGAAUGUAACAUUGUAAACUCAGUUUAAUUUCAAUUGAAUGUAAAUUAAUUAGUUUUGAUUGAUUGAUGCAUAACAAAAUGUUUUAACUUUUAUUUUACGAAUUCAAUUGUAUCUAAACACAGUGUUUAUGAUGUAACUAUGUAUUCUAGCAUUGUUUGUUUAAAAAAAUAGACUCGUCGAGUUUCUUACGCCGGUUCUUCUCGGUGGGUGGGUCAGCGAACCGGUGGCAGGGACUUUAUAUUGACCAAAAACAAUAAAUAAUCAUAUUCGUCAAAAUUUUGUUUUUAUUUGUUUUAUAGUGUCGGAUUUUUAUGUUUCAAAGACUUUGUUUUUGUGAAAAUUGUGUAUUGUUAUGUGAACUAAACUUAACAAACUCAGUUUUUACAAAUUCAAGGUAAUUGAAACAUAAAAAUCUGACAAGGAUAUCCUAUCCCCAUAAUAUCCUAAUACACACAUGCAAACAUAAACGCACACAUACACACCUGUAGAGUUUUAUCGCCCCUAUUUAAGAUGGCGCUAGCUGUCGCAUCAAAUGUCAAUUCGUGAGCCGUCAAACUCUUCUAAGACGCUUAUCUGUCUACAAAUAUAUACUAGUAAUCUGUGGGCUAUUAUAAUAAAAACACAUUUCU